GACGAACGCUGGCGGCGUGCUUAACACAUGCAAGUCGAACGGAAAGGCCCUGCUUUUGUGGGGUGCUCGAGUGGCGAACGGGUGAGUAACACGUGAGUAACCUGCCCUUUACUUUGGGAUAACUUCAGGAAACUGGGGCUAAUACCGGAUAGGAUCUCCUGCUGCAUGGUGUGGGUUGGAAAGUUUCGGCGGUUGGGGAUGGACUCGCGGCUUAUCCGCUUGUUGGUGGGGUAGUGGCUUACCAAGGCUUUGACGGGUAGCCGGCCUGAGAGGGUGACCGGCCACAUUGGGACUGAGAUACGGCCCAGACUGCUACGGGAGGCAGAAGUGGGGAAUAUUGCACAAUGGGCGGAAGCAUGAUGCAGCAACGCCGCGUGCGGGAUGACGGCCUUCGGGUUGUAAACCGCUUUCGCCUGUGACGAAGCGUGAGUGACGGUAAUGGGUAAAGAAGCACCGGCUAACUACGUG
This 468-nucleotide ribosomal RNA is filed under the name uncultured bacterium. RNAcentral describes it as "partial 16S ribosomal RNA". It matches the Rfam family "Bacterial small subunit ribosomal RNA", at positions 28 to 507 of the family's 1533-position model. The record is from RNAcentral.